GUUUAUAUAGUUUAAAAAAAAACCUUACAUUUUCAUUGUAAUAAUAAAAUUCUCUUUUUUUAUAAAUA
RNAcentral lists this transfer RNA (68 nucleotides) under Orthopygia glaucinalis. RNAcentral's name for it is "tRNA-Glu". Lineage: Eukaryota; Metazoa; Arthropoda; Insecta; Lepidoptera; Pyralidae. The record is from RNAcentral.